GACGAACGCUGGCGGCGUGCUUAACACAUGCAAGUCGAACGGAAAGGCCCUGCUUUUGUGGGGUGCUCGAGUGGCGAACGGGUGAGUAACACGUGAGUAACCUGCCCUUGACUUUGGGAUAACUUCAGGAAACUGGGGCUAAUACCGGAUAGGAGCUCCUGCUGCAUGGUGGGGGUUGGAAAGUUUCGGCGGUUGGGGAUGGACUCGCGGCUUAUGAGCUUGUUGGUGGGGUAGUGGCUUACCAAGGCUUUGACGGGUAGCCGGCCUGAGAGGGUGACCGGCCACACGGGAGGUGAGACACCGUCUAGGCGACUAAGGGAGGCCGCAGUCGGGAAUGGGGGACAAUGGGCGGAAGUCUGAUACAGCGGGAGCGCGUGGGUGCAGAAGGCCCUCGGGGUGUAAAGCCCGUUUGGUGGGAAAGAAACGCAUCCGGUUGAGACAAAGCUGUGGUGACGGUAAUGAAAAAAUAAGCACCGGCUAACUUCGUG
RNAcentral lists this ribosomal RNA (488 nucleotides) under uncultured bacterium. RNAcentral describes it as "partial 16S ribosomal RNA". It matches the Rfam family "Bacterial small subunit ribosomal RNA", at positions 28 to 507 of the family's 1533-position model. The record is from RNAcentral.